UACGGAGGGUGCAAGCGUUAAUCGGAAUUACUGGGCGUAGAGCGCACGCAGGCGGUCUGUCAAGUCGGAUGUGAAAUCCCCGGGCUCAACCUGGGAACUGCAUCCGAAACUGGCAGGCUAGAGUCCAGUAGGGGAGCGCGGAAUUCCACGUGUAGCGGUGAAAUGCGUAGAGAUGUGGAGGAACACCAGUGGCGAAGGCGGCUCUUUGGUCUGUAACUGACGCUGAGGCGCGAAAGCGUGGGGAGCAAACAGG
RNAcentral lists this unclassified non-coding RNA (253 nucleotides) under uncultured Enterobacteriaceae bacterium. Its description in RNAcentral is "contains 16S-23S intergenic spacer region". It matches the Rfam family "Bacterial small subunit ribosomal RNA", at positions 524 to 776 of the family's 1533-position model. The record is from RNAcentral. Lineage: Bacteria; Pseudomonadati; Pseudomonadota; Gammaproteobacteria; Enterobacterales; Enterobacteriaceae.